AACGUAGGUGGCAAGCGUUAUCCGGAUUUACUGGGCGUAAAGGGUGUGCAGGCGGGGUAGCAAGUGGUGUGUGAAAUCUCCGGGCUUAACCUGGAGGGGUUAUGCCAGACUGCUGCUCUAGAGGACGAGAGAGGGGGGUGGAAUUCCGGGUGUAGCGGUGGAAUGCGUAGAUAUCUGGAGGAACACCGGUGGCGAAGGCGGCAUCCUGGACCGGCAUUGACGCUGAGGCGCGAAAGCCAGGGGAGCAAACGGG
This 253-nucleotide ribosomal RNA is filed under the name uncultured bacterium. Its description in RNAcentral is "partial 16S ribosomal RNA". It matches the Rfam family "Bacterial small subunit ribosomal RNA", at positions 524 to 776 of the family's 1533-position model. The record is from RNAcentral.